UAGGGAAUCUUCGGCAAUGGACGAAAGUCUGACCGAGCAACGCCGCGUGAGUGAAGAAGGUUUUCGGAUCGUAAAACUCUGUUGUUAGAGAAGAACAAGGACGUUAGUAACUGAACGUCCCCUGACGGUAUCUAACCAGAAAGCCACGGCUAACUACGUGCCAGCAGCCGCGGUAAUACGUAGGUGGCAAGCGUUGUCCGGAUUUAUUGGGCGUAAAGCGAGCGCAGGCGGUUUCUUAAGUCUGAUGUGAAAGCCCCCGGCUCAACCGGGGAGGGUCAUUGAAACUGGGAGACUUGAGUGCAGAAGAGGAGAGUGGAAUUCCAUGUGUGGCGGUGAAAUGCGUAGAUAUAUGGAGGAACACCAGUGGCGAAGGCGGCUCUCUGGUCUGUAACUGACGCUGAGGCUCGAAAGCGUGGGGAGCAAACAGG
RNAcentral lists this ribosomal RNA (428 nucleotides) under Gemmatimonadota bacterium. RNAcentral describes it as "Gemmatimonadetes bacterium partial 16S ribosomal RNA". It matches the Rfam family "Bacterial small subunit ribosomal RNA", at positions 355 to 776 of the family's 1533-position model. Lineage: Bacteria; Pseudomonadati; Gemmatimonadota. The record is from RNAcentral.